UCGGGCGGCGGCAGCGGCCCGGUGGAGGCGGGGCCGAACAGGGCGAUGUAGUUGCACGCUCUAGACCCGAAGCGGAGUGAUCUAGCCAUGGGCAGGUUGAAGCGGAGGUAAGACUUCGUGGAGGACCGAACCCACCAGGGUUGAAAACCUGGGGGAUGACCUGUGGUUAGGGGUGAAAGGCCAAUCAAACUCCGUGAUAGCUGGUUCUCCCCGAAAUGCAUUUAGGUGCAGCGUCGUGUGUUUCUUGCCGGAGGUAGAGCACUGGAUAGGCGAUGGGCCCUACCGGGUUACUGACCUUAGCCAAACUCCGAAUGCCGGUAAGUGAGAGCGCGGCAGUGAGACUGUGGGGGAUAAGCUCCAUGG
Molecule: ribosomal RNA, 363 nt
Filed under: Streptomyces cavourensis
Lineage: Bacteria; Bacillati; Actinomycetota; Actinomycetes; Kitasatosporales; Streptomycetaceae
Description: partial 23S ribosomal RNA
Rfam family: Bacterial large subunit ribosomal RNA
Source: RNAcentral